UAUUUUUCAAAAAUCAUAAUUAGUGUGUGACUUAAGAAAAUUAGCUACCUCGUGCUUAACUCUAGAGAUGCCCAUCUUUUGACAUAACCUUAUAUAUGUUAACGUGAUGCUCCAUUUUAAAUUUCGUGGCAAUCGGAGUUGUAGAACUCCGGUUAUAGCGAUUUCCGUCAGAAAAUCACAAAAAUUAGAAUAGUCAUAACUUGGCCGUUUUAACUCGGAAUUAGCUCAUUUUUGGACACGAGCUACAUAAUACCACAUAUUUUCAUUUCCCAAAAGCCCGGAAUUUUUCUCACAAAAUAAAUUACCGAAACAGCCUCCGGAAAAGUUUUGGCAGUUUACUUUUGCGCAUUUGCAGUUUUGGAGUCCUUUACCAAAACUUAAAUAAAAUGAAAUCUAUAACUCCGAUUAAUGAUCCGUCAAUUUUGUUGGAUUCCUAUCUUUCCGAAAUACAGUUU
RNAcentral lists this long non-coding RNA (455 nucleotides) under Panax ginseng (ginseng). RNAcentral's name for it is "long non-coding RNA (PGIN_LNC014479)". Lineage: Eukaryota; Viridiplantae; Streptophyta; Magnoliopsida; Apiales; Araliaceae. The record is from RNAcentral.